UACAGAGGGUGCGAGCGUUGUCCGGAAUCACUGGGCGUAAAGGGCGCGUAGGUGGCGCCGCAAGUCCAUGGUGAAAGCUCGAUGCUCAACAUCGAGUCGGCCACGGAGACUGCGGGGCUCGAGCACUGUAGGGGCAGAUGGAAUUCCGGGUGUAGCGGUGGGAUGCGUAGAGAUCCGGAAGAACACCGGUGGCGAAGGCGGUCUGCUGGGCAGUUGCUGACACUGAGGCGCGACAGCGUGGGGAGCAAACAGG
This 253-nucleotide ribosomal RNA is filed under the name uncultured bacterium. RNAcentral's name for it is "partial 16S ribosomal RNA". It matches the Rfam family "Bacterial small subunit ribosomal RNA", at positions 524 to 776 of the family's 1533-position model. The record is from RNAcentral.